This 421-nucleotide ribosomal RNA is filed under the name uncultured bacterium. RNAcentral describes it as "bacterial SSU rRNA". It matches the Rfam family "Bacterial small subunit ribosomal RNA", at positions 355 to 774 of the family's 1533-position model. The record is from RNAcentral.
UAAGGAAUAUUGGUCAAUGCACGCAAGUCUGAACCAGCCAUGCCGCGUGAAGGAUGAAGGUCCUCUGGAUUGUAAACUUCUUUUAUCUGGGACGAAAACGGGAUUUUUAUCUCAAUUGACGGUACCAGAGGAAUAAGCACCGGCUAACUCCGUGCCAGCAGCCGCGGUAAUACGGAUGGUGCGAGCGUUAUCCGGAUUUACUGGGUUUAAAGGGUGCGUAGGUGGGCUUAUAAGUCAGUGGUGAAAUCUCCGAGCUUAACUUGGAAACUGCCGUUGNUACGAUAGGUCUUGAAUUAUCUGGAGGUAAGCGGAAUAUGUCAUGUAGCGGUGAAAUGCUUAGAUAUGACAUAGAACACCAAUUGCGAAGGCAGCUGACUACAUAUAAAUUGACGCUGAGGCACGAAAGCGUGGGGAUCAAACA